RNAcentral lists this ribosomal RNA (427 nucleotides) under uncultured bacterium. RNAcentral describes it as "bacterial SSU rRNA". It matches the Rfam family "Bacterial small subunit ribosomal RNA", at positions 97 to 520 of the family's 1533-position model. The record is from RNAcentral.
GGCGCACGGGUGCGUAACGCGUAUGCAACCUACCUUCUACCGGGGGAUAGCCUCCUGAAAGGGAGAUUAACACCGCAUAAGACAGCGAUUCGGCAUCGGAUAGCUGUUAAAACUCCGGUGGUAAAAGAUGGGCAUGCGUCUGAUUAGCUAGUUGGUGAGGUAAUGGCUCACCAAGGCGACGAUCAGUAGGGGACCUGAGAGGGUGAUCCCCCACACUGGCACUGAGAUACGGGCCAGACUCCUACGGGAGGCAGCAGUAGGGAAUAUUGGGCAAUGGUCGAGAGACUGACCCAGCCAUGCCGCGUGAAGGAAGAAGGCUUUCUGAGUUGUAAACCUUCUUUUAUCUGGGAAAAAACGAUCCCUGCGGGGGAGCAUUGAUGGUACCAGAUGAAUAGGCACCGGCUAACUCCGUGCCCAGCAGCCGCGG